UGGGUAACACUAACUGGAGGACCGAACCCACUGUCGUUGAAAAGCCAGGGGAUGACUUGUGGAUAGGGGUGAAAGGCUAAUCAAGCCUGGUGAUAGCUGGUUCUCCCCGAAAGCUAUUUAGGUAGCGCCUCGGACGAAUACCAUAGGGGGUAGAGCACUGUUUCGGCUAGGGGGUCAUCCCGACUUACCAAACCGAUGCAAACUCCGAAUACCUAUGAGUACUAUCCGGGAGACAGACUGCGGGUGCUAACGUCCGUAGUCAAGAGGAAAACAAUCCAGACCGCCAGCUAAGGCCCCAAAAUCAUAGUUAAGUGGGAAACGAUGUGGGAAGGCAUAGACAGCUAGGAGGUUGGCUUAGAAGCAGCCACCCUUUAAAGAAAGCGUAAUAGCUCACUAGUCGAGUCGGCCUGCGCGGAAGAUGUAACGGGGCUAAAACUAUGUGCCGAAGCUGCGGAUGUAUACUUUGUAUACGUGGUAGGGGAGCGUUCUGUAAGCCGAUGAAGGUGUGUUGAGAAGCAUGCUGGAGGUAUCAGAAGUGCGAAUGCUGACGUGAGUAACGACAAAACGGGUGAAAAACCCGUUCGCCGAAAGACCAAGGGUUCCAGUCCAACGUUAAUCGGGGCUGGGUGAGUCGACCCCUAAGGCGAGGCCGAAAGGCGUAGUCGAUGGGAAAAUGGUUAAUAUUCCAUUACUUCUGUGUAAUGCGAUGAGAGGACGGAGAAGGCUAAAUCAGCCUGGCGUUGGUUGUCCAGGUGAAAGGAUGUAGGCAUGUAUCUUAGGCAAAUCCGGGGUACUCUAUGCUGAGAUCUGAUAGCAAGCUGUACUUGUACAGCGAAGUGGUUGAUGCCAUGCUUCCAGGAAAAGUCUCUAAGCUUCAGUUACACAGGAAUCGUACCCGAAACCGACACAGGUGGUCAGGUCGAGUAGACCAAGGCGCUUGAGAGAACUCUGCUGAAGGAACUAGGCAAAAUGGUACCGUAACUUCGGGAGAAGGUACGCUGUUGUUGGUGAUGGAACUCGCUUCCUGAGCUGACGACAGCCGCAGAAACCAGGCCGCUGCAACUGUUUAUUAAAAACAUAGCACUCUGCAAACACGAAAGUGGACGUAUAGGGUGUGAUGCCUGCCCGGUGCUGGAAGGUUAAUUGAUGGGGUUAGCGUAAGCGAAGCUCUUGAUCGAAGCCCCAGUAAACGGCGGCCGUAACUAUAACGGUCCUAAGGUAGCGAAAUUCCUUGUCGGGUAAGUUCCGACCUGCACGAAUGGCAUAAUGAUGGCGGCGCUGUCUCCAGCAGAGGCUCAGUGAAAUCGAAAUCGCUGUGAAGAUGCAGUGUACCCGCGGCUAGACGGAAAGACCCCGUGAACCUUUACUGCAGCUUGACACUGAACUUUGACCUUACUUGUGUAGGAUAGGUGGGAGGCUUUGAAGCUGGAACGCUAGUUCCAGUGGAGCCGUCCUUGAAAUACCACCCUGGUAAUGUUGAGGUUCUAACUCUGUCCCGUGAUCCGGGACGAGGACCGUGUCUGGUGGGUAGUUUGACUGGGGCGGUCUCCUCCUAAAGAGUAACGGAGGAGUACGAAGGUGCGCUCAGCGUGGUCGGAAAUCACGCGUAGAGUAUAAAGGCAAAAGCGCGCUUAACUGCGAGACCCACAAGUCGAGCAGGUACGAAAGUAGGUCUUAGUGAUCCGGUGGUUCUGUAUGGAAGGGCCAUCGCUCAACGGAUAAAAGGUACUCUGGGGAUAACAGGCUGAUACCGCCCAAGAGUUCAUAUCGACGGCGGUGUUUGGCACCUCGAUGUCGGCUCAUCUCAUCCUGGGGCUGAAGCAGGUCCCAAGGGUAUGGCUGUUCGCCAUUUAAAGAGGUACGCGAGCUGGGUUUAGAACGUCGUGAGACAGUUCGGUCCCUAUCUACCGUGGGCGCUGGAAAUUUGAGAGGAUCUGCUCCUAGUACGAGAGGACCAGAGUGGACGAACCUCUGGUGUACCGGUUGUGACGCCAGUCGCAUCGCCGGGUAGCUAUGUUCGGAAGGGAUAACCGCUGAAAGCAUCUAAGCGGGAAGCCUACCUCAAGAUAAGAUUUCCCUAGGACUUUAUGUCCUCUAAAGAGCCGUUCGAGACUAGGACGUUGAUAGGUUGGAUGUGGAAGCAUAGUGAUAUGUGAAGCUGACCAAUACUAAUUGCUCGUGAGGCUUGACUAUACAACACCCAAGCAGUUG
Molecule: ribosomal RNA, 2211 nt
Filed under: Acinetobacter baumannii
Lineage: Bacteria; Pseudomonadati; Pseudomonadota; Gammaproteobacteria; Moraxellales; Moraxellaceae
Description: partial 23S ribosomal RNA
Rfam family: Bacterial large subunit ribosomal RNA
Source: RNAcentral